UAGGUAGUAAGAGAGAAAGAGUUAUCAGAAAGAAAGAAAAGAAGAAAGGGAAGAGUAGAGAAGAGGAAAAGAGAAGAAAGAAGAAGAGAGAAAGAAGGAAGAAAGGCUUGGAGGAUAAAAGGAAGAAGCUCAUCAUCACCAUUUUCUACUCAUCAUCCUCACCAACUUCAUCUUGUUCUUCUACUAGACAUUCUAAAGGUGGAAUUGAAUGCAGUACACUCAGAAUUUUAUGAAAGACAAAAUGAUUCGGCACAUAUUCUUAAUCAAUUUAGAUGCCAUUCAUCAAAACAAGGCCACCAAUAUAAUAAAGUG
Lathyrus oleraceus (garden pea) is the source of this 312-nucleotide long non-coding RNA. RefSeq lists it as uncharacterized. The transcript has 3 exons. The record is from RefSeq and is a predicted model, not a curated record. NCBI's taxonomy places the organism in Eukaryota, Viridiplantae, Streptophyta, Magnoliopsida, Fabales, Fabaceae.